UUCUUUAUAGAAGAAAAUAUAAAGUAUAACCUGCUCAAUGAUUUUUAAAUAGCCGCGGUAUUUGAUCGUGCUAAGGUAGCAUAAUAAUUUGUCUUUUAAUUAAGGUCUAGAAUGAAUGGUUGAACGAAAAAUUAACUUUUUUAAUUAAAUUUUUAUUAAUUUUAUUUUUUAGUAAAAAAGCUAAAAUUAUUUUAUGUGACGAUAAGACCCUAUAAAAUUUUAUUUUUUGUUUGUUUAUGAAUAAUUAGUUUUUAUCUUUUGUAAAUUUUAUUAAAAAUUUGGUUGGGGUGAUUAUUUUAUUUAAAGAACUAUAAUUUUUAAAUUUCACUAAUUUGUGAUUUAUUGAUCCUAAAAUUUAGAUUAUAAGAAUAAAUUACUUUAGGGAUAACAGCGUAAUUUUCUUGGGGAGUUCUUAUUUAUAAGAAAGAUUGCGA
This 434-nucleotide ribosomal RNA is filed under the name Tingidae gen. 2 sp. h RS-2018. RNAcentral describes it as "partial large subunit ribosomal RNA". Lineage: Eukaryota; Metazoa; Arthropoda; Insecta; Hemiptera; Tingidae. The record is from RNAcentral.